UAUCUUUGACGAAACGGUUGUCAAAUGUCAACGAUAUUUGUGUGUGUACUGUGUAGCAACAACUUUGUACGAAGUUCUAGAGAAUUCUCGAGAGAACGUAGAGAGAUGAACAAAUAUAUCUAAUAUCUUACUGAAAGGUUUCUGGGUACCUAGUGCUGUUGUGUCGUUUGAAACUUUGCUUCAGUUUGCAAUUAGUGUGAGCGUGUGUAAGAAUUUUUUUUUCUUAUUUGCGGUAACAUAAUCACAAAAGGAAAAUGUCUUAUAUGUUAGGACACCUUCACAAUGGAUGGCAGGUAGACCAGGCCAUCUUAUCAGAGGAAGAUAGAGUUGUGGUAAUACGUUUCGGCCAUGACUGGGAUCCAUCUUGUAUGAAAAUGGAUGAAGUAUUGUACAGUAUAGCAGAAAAAGUGAAAAACUUUGCAGUUAUAUAUCUGGUAGAUAUAACAAAGGUUCCUGACUUUAAUAAAAUGUAUGAACUGUACGAUCCAUGUACAGUAAUGUUCUUCUUCCGGAACAAACAUAUAAUGAUUGAUCUGGGCACUGGUAACAACAAUAAAAUAAAUUGGCCACUGGAAGAUAAGCAGGAGAUGAUUGAUAUAAUAGAAACAGUGUAUCGUGGUGCAAGGAAAGGGAGAGGUCUUGUAGUGUCACCAAAAGACUAUUCAACAAAAUACCGUUACUAAAUUUUGCUUUAUGCUGUGGUAUAGAAGAUCUGUGGCACAUGACACCAGCUGACUCUCAGUGUGUGUGAAAGAGAUGGUGAUGCCUUGCAGUGUCUUUUGUCCCCCCUCCUGACCAUGGGUGCUUAAACUUCAGGCAGACAGUCUGUUCAGCAGUAGUAUGGCAAGGAGAAAAUGAACUGUUCCUGAGGUAAAAGCUUUUAAAUUAAGGAAUACAUGUCUUUUGUGUAUCACUGUAACUUGGGAGACUGGUACCAGUUCAUCAGAUCAGUGUUCAUUUGUAAAGGCAAUAUUAUUCAGUAACCCACCUGUCUUCCAAUGUGUGUCCUUGCAAGCAAAAAUCAGAUAUCUCAUUUCAUCCAUCAUCAAGUGUUUAGUAAUUUUUUGGUAGAAUAUGAAGGGGUUCAAUCAUAUCAGAAGUAAUUUGCAUUCUUUGUGGCCAGUAAUAAG
This is an RNA transcript of Schistocerca cancellata (South American locust), 1130 nucleotides long. It is a transcript of the gene named thioredoxin-like protein 4A, with no coding region annotated. NCBI's taxonomy places the organism in Eukaryota, Metazoa, Arthropoda, Insecta, Orthoptera, Acrididae. The record is from RefSeq and is a predicted model, not a curated record. The transcript has 4 exons.